AGCGAUGGUUUUUCUAUAUUUAUACAUGUGUGUGUGUGUGUGUGUAUAUGUGUGUGCGUGUGUAUGUGUGUGUGUCCCCCUUUUUUUGGCACCUUCCUACGCCCGUGGAAGGGUUGGGGGAGCCGGGGAGGAGGCUGUCAUAUAACGGAGCCAACCAUCACCACUUUACACUAUAGCUCCAUGUAUCAUAUUGACCGCAAUAUCCAGGCAGCACGAAACCAAGUUUACUGUCUGUGUUUGUUAUUUAAGGAAUCGUGCCAGUUUUGACCCCAAGAGGACAGCCGCAUGGCGAAUAUAUUCCAAGAAAAUGACAAAAGGUUCAAAGAUCAUCCUAAGAUUAACGAAAAAUCCAAUUACUGGACUGCUCUGGUAUCCGCAGACGACUCUCUCUGGGAAUAAAGUGCUUACUCAAACACUUGCUCGUCGGGGAAAACCUGGACAUUUCGCAGUACUAAUGCUCCGUGUACACAAAGCUUCCGAGAGUUACCAGCCACAUGUAAAUAAAAAAAAUAAAAACCUUCAAAACU
This is a long non-coding RNA of Gigantopelta aegis, 527 nucleotides long. RefSeq lists it as uncharacterized. The record is from RefSeq and is a predicted model, not a curated record. The transcript is spliced from 2 exons. Lineage: Eukaryota; Metazoa; Mollusca; Gastropoda; Neomphalida; Peltospiridae.